UAGCACCACCUGGUGCCACCUGCCCGGCGCUCUGCAAACAGCGAUAAGACCAGCCGAGGGGCGGGAAGGUCCCCUUGGCCCGGCCACCACUCACACGCUCCUCCUCGGGCAAAGCAGUCGAGUGUGUCCUGUGUGUGUUUCUGCAGUCGCUCUCCAGAGAGUCUCCCAAUGAUGGGGGCUCACCCUGGCAGGAUAACUUGCCCCCCACCCACCCUUCCUGGUUUGGCGUGCAUUCGGUUUUCUGUGAGAGCUGAGGAGAGAAAGGUUUGAGAAGAAGGAAAGGAAAGCAACGGCUUUGCUCCGGGUUUCGGAGCUGGAAUCGAACCCUCUUGCACCAGGGCAAGGGCGAAAAGCUUGCUGCCCCACUGAUGCCUAUGCUCGGGGGGGGGGAGGCAGU
Pogona vitticeps (central bearded dragon) is the source of this 397-nucleotide non-coding RNA. The record is from RefSeq and is a predicted model, not a curated record. Lineage: Eukaryota; Metazoa; Chordata; Lepidosauria; Squamata; Agamidae.